CCGACCGCGACCCCAGGUCAGGCGGGACUACCCGCUGAAUUUAAGCAUAUCAAUAAGCGGAGG
This 63-nucleotide ribosomal RNA is filed under the name Calamagrostis purpurascens. RNAcentral describes it as "partial 26S ribosomal RNA". The stretch from base 8 to 63 matches the Rfam family "Eukaryotic large subunit ribosomal RNA", at positions 1 to 56 of the family's 3401-position model. Lineage: Eukaryota; Viridiplantae; Streptophyta; Magnoliopsida; Poales; Poaceae. The record is from RNAcentral.